UGGGGAAUAUUGCGCAAUGGGCGAAAGCCUGACGCAGCAACGCCGCGUGGAGGAUGAAGGCUUUCGGGUUGUAAACUCCUUUCAGCAGGGACGAAACUGACGGUACCUGCAGAAGAAGCCCCGGCUAACUACGUGCCAGCAGCCGCGGUGAGACGUAGGGGGCAAGCGUUGUCCGGAUUUAUUGGGCGUAAAGAGCUCGUAGGCGGCUUGGCAAGUCGGGAUGUGAAAUCUCCAGGCUUAACCUGGAGUCGCCAUCCGAUACUGCUAUGGCUAGAGUCCGGUAGAGGAUCGUGGAAUUCCUGGUGUAGCGGUGAAAUGCGCAGAUAUCAGGAGGAACACCAACGGCGAAGGCAGCGAUCUGGGCCGGUACUGACGCUGAGGAGCGAAAGCGUGGGGAGCGAACAGG
Molecule: ribosomal RNA, 406 nt
Filed under: uncultured Ferrimicrobium sp.
Lineage: Bacteria; Bacillati; Actinomycetota; Acidimicrobiia; Acidimicrobiales; Acidimicrobiaceae
Description: bacterial SSU rRNA
Rfam family: Bacterial small subunit ribosomal RNA
Source: RNAcentral